This 396-nucleotide long non-coding RNA is filed under the name Prunus persica (peach). Its description in RNAcentral is "long non-coding RNA (PPER_LNC001531)". Lineage: Eukaryota; Viridiplantae; Streptophyta; Magnoliopsida; Rosales; Rosaceae. The record is from RNAcentral.
UGAGAUAAAACUCUUUGAGAAAUGGUAGAGGAGAGCAUAAAAGCAAUGCCUGACGGUACCUCCCCCCAUAUAUAUCCCUCCUCAUCCCUAUCUAUCAUUAGUUAUGUUUUUUUUUUCUUUUUAAAUUUGAAUAAAGUGGGAGGUGUUUUCGUCAGCUACACUAGUUUCAGAUAUAGCUUAGGGUUACAGUGUGCAGUUUUGAUAAUGUAGAGACCCUUGAAGAAGCAAUUUACAAGUCCUGAAGUUAAUUAUCUCUUUGCAAUUAUGAUUUAAGUUUAAUUAUCUCUAAUCUUCUGCAUUUUGAGAGAGUCAGAUUCCCGUAAUUAUGUUUUAUGCGGUUCGGGUGUAGUGAUGAAUUUUAAUUGCUUGUUACCCAAGACAGCUAGUAAUUCGGCC